This 229-nucleotide unclassified non-coding RNA is filed under the name plant metagenome. RNAcentral's name for it is "partial contains small subunit ribosomal RNA, internal transcribed spacer 1, and 5.8S ribosomal RNA". The record is from RNAcentral.
UCUCCGUAGGUGAACCUGCGGAGGGAUCAUUACAGAGUUCUGGCCGUCGCAGGUAGAUCUCCUCCCCACUUUUAUCGUUACUGCGUUGCUUUGGGGGGGCGCCGGGCUCCGCUCGGCCGCCGGCACCGGCGGGCGCGCGCCCGCAAGAGGCCCAGCAAACACUGACUGUUAGUGUCGUUUGAGUACUAUAUAAGAGUUAAAACUUUCAACAACGGAUCUCUUGGUUCUG